Non-coding RNA from Oryctolagus cuniculus (rabbit), 13889 nucleotides. NCBI's taxonomy places the organism in Eukaryota, Metazoa, Chordata, Mammalia, Lagomorpha, Leporidae. The record is from RefSeq and is a predicted model, not a curated record.
CCCCACCCCCGAACCCAACAGUGAAUCCUGGGCGGCUUUGGGUGCUCCGCAGAAAGCCAGGGCUGGGUGAACAGGGGAGAGAGGCAGGAGGGAUGUUACUUAUGCUCCUCUGGGGGCAGCUACUUGAGGAAAGUGAGGGCCUUGGCCCUUUGUGCAAAGCGGACAGCGUGCAGGAGGUGCUAGGUGAGUCCCAGGGCGAGUGCGGAGCCCUGCGGAGGGGCGGGGGGAGCACGGGGCACCCAGACCACGCGGAGGAUGCGAUGCAGGGUUCUGAGCAGAGAAGGGGCGCCGUCUGACAUUUCACAAGGAUCCCCGCAGGCUGAGUCCUGCAGGGAGGCCCCGAGAGGCUGCUGGAGCCGCAGGUCCAGAGAGGCGGGCGCAGGGCAGGGGAGGUGCACGGAGGUGGCGGGUUCCAGCCGCAUUCGAAGGCCGGUCUGCUGGGGCUGCGCUCAACUUGGUUUUUCUCAAGCAGCUGUGAGCUAGACUUUGGUGACAAGGGGAGGACUUCCACAGAAACGGGGGGGACUUCCUUUGGCGGGAUCCUGCGCCCAAGCUGCCCGCUGGGCACAGAAGCGGGAAGUUGAUACCGGAGCCCAGCGAGCGGUCAGCCCCGGAGUCUCCGGAGUAGGCUCAGGACCCCAUGAGAUCAUUUAGGGAGUGAGUGGGAACAAAAGGCGAGGCCAAGGAGCAAGCUGAAGGGGCCAGCCCCGCGAGAUCGGGAAGGGAAGACCAGUAGGGCAUUCUGGGAGACCCGCAGGGGAUUCUGGGAGGCCAGCGGGGGAUUCUGGGAGACAGUGGAAGAUUCUAGGAGACCAGCAGGGGAUUCUGGGAGGCCAGUGGAGGGUUCUGGGAGGCCAGUGGAGGAUUCUGGGAGACCAGUGGAGGAUUCUGGGAGGCCAGUGGAGGGUUCUGGGAGGCCAAUGAGGGAUUCUGGGAGGCCAAUGAGGGAUUCUGGGGAGGAGGAGCCAGAUAGCAGCGUAUCAUCUUCUGGUGGAGCAGGCCGCCUGCCCACCCUCCGGGGAGACUGGGGUCGGCCCUGGAACCUUGGCCUCAGCACUGGGGACAGCGCGUGACCGUUGAGGGCUGUUUCAGUGGGCGGCAGUGGGAAGGCGGCUGGAGCGCUCGCUAGAAAGAGACCAGAAAGGAUCCCGAGAGACCGGAGUGAGACCUAGGACGGAUCUAGACGACAGACAGACUGAUCUUUCAUCAGCUUAUUCAUUCCCUAAAUGCCUGCAGCAGUGACGGUUGGACCAGGCCAAGCCAGGAGCCCAGAACUCCAUCCAGCUCCAUGUGGGUGACAGGGAGCCGUCACCCGCCGCCUCCCUGGUGUAUUAGCAGGAAGCUGGAAGAAAAGCGAAGUAGCAGGGACUCCAGCCCGAUGCUCCCGUAGACAAUGUGAGCCUCCGAAUGCCUGCCGCUCCCCGUAGAUUUUUAAAUGAUAUGUUUUGUACCUAAAACUGCCUUUGAUGUUUCCCAGAGGAAAAACACUAACAAUUUGUCCUCUUACUUCGCACAAAAGAGAAUCAUUGGAAAUGCUUAGUUGUAUUUGAUUUGUUACUUUUGAUGAGUUGUGUAGGAAGAGUUGUGGAAACAGAAGAGACACUUUGCUUUCCUCAGAUUAAAGUUGUAUGGUAGGCCAGUGCCGCAGCUCACUAGGCUAAUCCUCCACCUGCGGCGCCAGCACCCCGGGUUCUAGUCCUGGUCAGGGCGACAGAUUCUGUCCUGGUUGCUCCUCUUCCAGGCCAGCUCUCUGCUGUGGCCCGGGAGUGCAGUGGAGGAUGGCCCAAGGAGGAAGCACCUGGCUCCUGGCUUUGGAUUGGCGCAGCACACCGGCUGCAACACACUGGCCGUAGCGGCCACUUGGGGGGUAAACCAACGGAAAAAGGAAGACCUUUCUCUCUGUCUCUCUCUCUCACUAACUCUGCCUGUCAAAAAAAAAAAAAAAAAAAGUUGUGUGGUAGAAUGCUAUAAAAUACAGGUUUUCAGGAAUUGUAUGCUAUGUGGGAAAUUCCUAGAGACUUGUCAAUGCCUCGUUGUCCAUGAUGUGCUUUUAUUUUUUUAAGAUUUAUUUAUUUAACUUGAAAGUCAGAGUUAUACAGAGAGAGGAGAGGCAGAGAGAGCGAGGUCUUCCAUCUGCUAGUUCACUUCCCAGUUGGCCGCAAUGGCUGGAGCUGAGCUAAUCUGAAGCCAGGAGCCAGGAGCUUCUUCCAGGUCUUCCACGUGGGUGCGGGGGCUCAGGGGCUCCGGCCAUCUUCCGCUGCUUUCCCAGGCCAUAGCAGAGAGCUGGAUUGGAAGUGGAGCAGUCAGGAUUCAAACUGGCACCCAUAUGGGAUGCCGGCACUGCAGGCGGCGGCUUUACCUGCUGCGCCACAGCACCAGCCCCUCAUGAUGUAUUUCUUGGUGCUGCUUUCCCAGAUCUUAGACAACCAUAGUAGAAUGUUAUCAGUCAUGAUUUCAGCUGUUUCUUUAAGUGGUAACCCAGUCACAGCUUCUUUGAUUUGAAUCUAGUGUCUCUGAGGCCAGCAGUUUUCAUUUACCAAUGGAGUGUUAUUAAACUUAAGAUCUAUUCUAAAUGUAUAAAUCUCUUUACUUGAAAUGCUUUUAUGUAUCUUUAUAUAGUCUUAAUGUGUUUGAACAUAUGUUUAGUAAUGAUAAAUUAUGUACCAAUAUUAUUAUUAUAUAUCUGAAAUUUUAUAUUAUAUAUUGUUAUAUAUCUGAAUUUUUUCCUGUAAAAAGAUUGUUUUUUUUUUCUUUUUUAAAGCAAGAAUUACAGAAAGAGAGAGGCAGAGAUUUCCAUCUGCUGGCUCACUCCCCAAAUGGCCACAAUGGCCAGGCCCAUGCCAGGUUGAAGCCAGGAACUCCAUCCAGAUCUCUCACUUGAGUGGCAAGGGCCCAAACACUUGGGCUUUCUUCUACUGUUUUCCUAGGGGCAUUAUCAGGAGCUGGAUUGGAAGUGGAGCAGCCUGGACUUGAACUGGCACUUAUAUGGGGUGCUGGCAUUGCAGGCGGCAGCUUAACCUGCUGUGCCACAAUUCUGGCCAGUUCUUUUGUUUUUAUAAAUUAUAUACAACAUCUCCUAUUUAAAAAUAGGGUUAUCCAUUAUGUUAAUAGGUCUAUUUUUUUUUUUCUUAAUUUGAGAGACAGAGGAAUAGAGAUAGAAAGAGAACUCCCAUCUGUCGGUUCAUUCCUCAGAUGCUUGCAAUGGCUGGAACUAAAAACUCCGUCUAGAUCUUCCACAUGAGUGGCAGAUCCCCAAUUACUUAAGACACCACCUGCUGCCUCCCAGGAUCCACACCAGCAAGGAACUAGAAUUAGGAUUGGAACUGGGAUUGAAACACAGGCACUCCAAUAUGGGAUAUGGUGUCUCAAACAAUGUCCCAACCUCUAAGCCAAAUGCCCACCCCUUUCAUCUAAAACAUUUUAGGCUGAUUUUACUGUUUUGUUUUGCACGUCACAGAAACAACCAAUUUUCCAUGUCAGUUGUACCAUCCUUGUUAUGAACUCUGAGCAGGUCCUUCACAUUUGAAACUUGUCAAUAAUAGGUUAACCACAGUCAUUUCAUUUUGCCAUCUACAGAUAGUUUUUUGUCUCACUCUGGUACUUCCUUGAAAGCUCUUACAGUCAACUGCAGACCACAGCGUCUCGUCUUCCACCAAGAAGGGGUGUGUCUGGGCAGUGUGGUCAAGACCUCUGCUGGGACAUAAUUGGAGACACCGAUCACAUACUCAAAGCUUUGCUUGGAAUAUCCUAUUUGAGAACAAGGCUCAUUUAACCAGGCAUGACCCGACACUUUUGAGCAACUAGGGUUGUUUUUAUGGAGCCAAUGCGUACAAGAUCUGGGAAAAGUGGCCUGGAACCUGGCUUGCAGAGUUCCCAGCCUUGCAGGUGAAUAAGGAAGGUCAAUUAUUGGCAAGCCCCUGAGCUUCUAGAUACAGUGCCUGGGGGACCCUGAGGAGUGGAAUUUGCUCAGACUGAUAGGUACCAGCAGUGAACGUGAUGUUAAGUUCUUGACUUGAUUUCCCAACCUCAGGAUCCGUUCAGAAUUCCUUCCUUCCCAAGGCUUCCAGCAAAGCAAACAGAAGGAGCUCAAAUGGGAAAUGACCAUCCUCGCCAUGAGACUGGUCUAAUUUUGUGACCAAGAAGAAUCUGUCUUUGAGAUUAUCCUAAUGAAAAGCGAGGUGACUGAAAAGAGAAAUGCUGUGUUUCCAGACUCCUGGUGAGCAGACACCAGCCCUUCUCCUUGCCUCUGAGUUUUCUCAUGCUUCUUUCUACACGGCAGGUGGCCGGUGACUAUGCAGGCUCUGUCUGAUGAGAUUAAUGGACUUCCUUCUCAUACCCCUUGUGGAUAAACCAGUUUGAGUGCCAACUUUUCAAGUGGACUGGAUCCUGUUGUUGAUCCUUACCAAAUGUCUACUUCCUCCGGUUUUCCUCAUAUCUGACUAUUAGGGAGCAUCAAGGAGUCCAUGGAAAAAUGGAAUUAAAGAUAAAGUCAUUUUGGUGCAAAAGUUUUGAACUCCAUGCAUAUUUUCCCAUAGUACAUUUUCCAUGAACUUUUUGAAGAUCCCUUGUACACACCCUUCCCAACAAACCUGACCCAUUUUCCUUCCUACAGCCUGAACUGGCAUCACCAGGAAUUAAAACCUGACUGCCCAGAUCCCUGUCAGGACUCUGGGCUGCCUUGGGGGUGGCCUUGUCUCACAAGAUAUGAAGUUCUGAGAGCUGAAGCCCCAUGACUUGGCCUAAACCUCAGGAGACCCAGCAGCUUAGCAAACCAUGGACGAGCCAUUGGCUGGACCACAGAGGAAGUCCAUCCGCCAGAAGGCUCCAGUCCUCCAUGCCCUCCUGGGAGGAGUAGCAAGACCGUGGAUACACAAAGUCAUCAACAUCUCAGCUCCGUCUCAGAGACUCAGGGAGCUGUGCUGAGGGGUUUUCUUCUGCUGACCCCUUGGAAUUCACAGAACUGGUUCCUUCUCAGGGUUCAGCUCCUGGCCGUUUGCUUUAAUACUGCUUCUACGUUAUUACUUUUCUGUUUCGGACAUCCAUCUUUUAGGAUGCCUGGGUCUCCAGGACCCUCAAGCAGCUCAGCUGUCAACAGAUGGCUCAACAGCUUUUGUGGGAACAGCAGCAACAGGAGUCCUAGCAGGACUGUGUCUUAGGCGCCGGUUUGGAGAUUUGCGCUUUCUCCGAGCUGUUAGUGAUGAGCGACAUUCACCCGGGGCCAAAGCUGGGACUGACAAUGCCGAACUUUACCCGAGCCUCAUGCAACUCGGCAGCGAUGGUUAGAAACACCACCCUUUUGAGUUUCAGAAAGAGCGAGCCAGCCGACCACAGAGCGCCAAGCUAUUCUCUCGAUUCCUGAUAGAAGACCAACCUCCAUCCAUCCCAUGAUGCUCUUGCCUACCUGCCUCUCUAAGACCCCAGGCUCCCUGCCUCGUCUUUGAGAUGUUCCUUGGGAACGGAACUUCUCCUUAUCUCACUAGCCUGAAUGAAGUCACUUCCUUAAUGAUCGGGUAAUUUUGUGUGCCACAGCCAGUGAGUGCCUCCUUUGGUGGCGGCAGCCAGCACCUCACCCAUGACUGUGCUGCUGGAGGGGCAGCCACCUGUGCCCCGGGGCUCUUUCCAGUGCUCCUGUGGCUUAACCUGUGUGCAACCACUUUUCAGAAGCUCAGGACGUGAGCCAACCCAGAGAGGGAUGCCUCGGUUAGUGGAGCAGGUGGAAGGGAAACGCCUGCCUCCCGUGCUGACUGAGACAGGAAGGAGUCAGUCUGAGAUACUUCUGGGCUGAGACAGUGGUGACACAUGCCCAGUUAUGCCUUUAUUGGAAGGAGGAAAUAAUAUCCAGCCUGGACAGGUAUUGGGUAGAAAGCAGGCCAAGUCAGAGCUGGGCUGGGGCAAGUGCUGUAAAAUGUGCAAGUUUUAAACCCACAGAUCCCAUCUCAUUGCUCUUCUCAGUGGAGAGAAGGCAAGGAGGGCUCCCUUGGGUAGCAUGUGCGUGGUCAGGGGUGUUUGAAGGCAGGGAUCAAUGGGAUCUCUCAGCUCUGUGACUUUGCAGGGUGGAUUUUAGCAAGGGCAUGUGAUGUAAGGACAAGGAGACCCUGAUAAUGUCACCAUUCCAUAGCCAUCUCUUGUUGCCCGAGAGGAACCCAGGAGUUCCUGGAUUCUUUAUUGUCCGUUUCCCCCGGUGAAGUAAGUGUCAGGGAUCUUGUCUGUUGCAAGAUCCCAGGGACCAGCAAUAACCAGGAAGCCCCUAAGAAUUCUUAGGGCCCUUGGAUGUUGUGUGUGGUGUUCCCAAGCCUAGCACAGUACUUGGUACCCGGGAGGCAUUUCAUGGUGCUUGGGCAUCUGUCCUUCCUGUGAAUCACAUGUUCUGGGUCUUAUAAAGGAUGACAAAGCAAGAAAGCUUGCUGGGUAAGACAGGGGGAUGGGGUGACUCUUGUUACUUGGACUUGUAUACACAAAGUUUUAGCCAAGUGGUUGCCUAGAACCCUUUUGGAAAACUCCAGUCACUGGGAGUCAAAUGCCCACUUUUAAUUAGCCAAGGCUGGGUUUUCCCGUCUCAAGCCGCAGUGCUCAGCCAUCAAGGCCACCUGCUGCAAGUCCCGUUGAGUUCAUCUCUGCCAGCCUUUAUGCCUGUCUCAAAGUAAUUUGUGUGCUGGGAGUUGGCUUUGAACAGAGCGGAUUCUUUGAAAAACAGGCAGAAAAACCAAAGUCCUUUAGCAAUAAGGUAGUCCCAUAUACGUGGCUGGGAGGUGUCCAAGCCAGGCAGCCCCAGGAGGAUUGAGUUAGUGUAGGUUUGGAUGAGGGCAGAAGAGAGCAGGUUCUUGGUUUCCGGGGGAGUUCGUGCUUGCUUGGUGGGGGUGGGGGUGGUGUGUCCAAAUUAAAUUCCUUUUAUUUUGAGGGCAGCCCAUUGACAAGGCAAUGAUGGAAAAGUGAAGUUUUGGAUACCAAAGGGAACCAGAGAAUUUUGAUGUCAUAAGGGUUUGUUACUGAACUGCAAAUACCUGGUCAAGUCAACCUCAAGUGAAUUGACUGAUAUUUGGGGGAAGGGAUGCUGACUGACAUGUGAUAGAGAUAGACCUAGGAAAUAACCGUAGGUCAGGGCACCAGCCGAGCACAGCUUGGCCCCUGCCCCAGGAAGCCUCGGAGGCAGGAGGGCCUUCUUUGCUGGCACACACAGACCCACACUUGAACUGUUCGCCCUAAGAAAGUUCAGCUUCACAAAUGGACUGGAUUGGUUCCAUGGGUUGAAAAUGGUGAAGUGAAUGAAGGUCUGUUACUGGGAUGGCCUAGACUAGGGUCACCAAGACAGGGUCCGAGGCCCGGUAAGAAACAAUGGCUCAAUGUGUUCACAGGGGUUUGCACGAGGGAACAGCAUAGUUACAGCCUAGCCUCCCUUCUUACUAGGUGGAUCUCUCUGGGUGGUCCCUGUCGUGGUCCUGCACGGCCCUGUUUCAGCUUCAGUUGCCAGUUUUCUUUCUUUAGAAGAACAUUAGUCCCUGGUGGGCACGUUCAAGUACCUCUUAAGUCCCCACGGUAAGCUUCUUCCAGGUUGUCUUGAGUGGAAGACCUGAACUUCAAAAGAUGGAUGUAACCAUCUUGCUCUGCUUUGCUGUAAGUGGGAUGGACGAUGCCUACCUAGGAUCGUGUUGGUUGCAAGAAAGUAGAAGAGCUCCAUGUCCAAGUAGCUAAGUGAGGAUGAGACAAGGGCUUCCGGUUAGGUGGGGCUAGGAGCAGUGGGACAUUGAGCAGAGAUCACAGGUAGCAGUCAAGGGGCUCUGUGGGUAUGCGCAUGGCAGUGGUGGGAUGCCCCAGCAUCUGGGACCCAUCUGUGCCAUGCCACCUGUGCAUAUUAAUGUAGCCCAGCAUCCUGAAGGCUCCCUGGCACCCUGAAAUCUGUGGUGACAAGCAUCAGAUUUACCUGCAUAGCCAGAUUCUUUGUGGGUCUUAGAGCAGGGAACCGGGUUUGGGUUGCUGGCAAAGGACUUUGUUCUUGGGGGCUGGGAGGAGACAGAGGACAAAAACAUCUAUUAUUAAGCUGAGGAAAAUGCUGUGGUUGCCUGUCUGGCUGGUGACAAUGUGUGGUGGGGGUUUGUGUAUAUGAGAGUGAGUAUAUGCGCACAGUUGUAAAGGAAGUGCAGCAAGAGGCGACCCCUGGCUCUCAUCCUGAGACCCACUGACUCACCCCAAGCAGUGCCUGCCGGGCUGGAAGGCAAGAAGAGGUGGUGCUCUGUAAACCUGGCCUCUCCUGCUGAGUCCACUCCCUACCAGAAAGAAUGCGCUGAGUCUGCCAGGUGGGACCAGCUCCAAUGCGGGCAUGCAUAACCUCCCACUGAAGGGCGGCCAGUGACCUCUGCUGCCUUCUGGAAGAAGACGGACCCAGGGGUCAGGGCUAUGGGGCCAGUGGCAAGUGGCAGCCAUGGCUGGAAUUGAGCCUUCUCACGAUUCUGCUGUGAUGGGAGAGUCUGGGGAAGCUGCAGCCACUGUGCUAUCAUCCCACUGCUUGUCAGAAGGGAGCGUUCAGACCCUCCUAGGAUGGUACAGAAGAUGGGCUCUGUCUAGUCCAGGCACGGUCCAGGCAACAGCGUUAAUCAUGACUCAUGCCAUGAACUGGCGCGACAGGAAUGCAGCUGAUGGACUUGGCCGCUGGCCCUCACUUGCCAUCAGUGCCCCAAGAAGGAGCUGCAGUAUCUCUAGCUAUUUUAGGGCUGAUGCAGAAGAUAUCUUUGUAUUGCCAGUGUGCGAAUACCAUGUAAUAGUACCUAAGGUACAUAAAGUGUGCUGGAGAGGGCCCAGAUCAAGUCAAGUCCAUCACAUUGAAACCUGAUGUCUCCCAGGCCAAGGAGCCAUGUGUACAGUUGCCGUGUCAUGGCAACCUUUGCAAACCCGGCUGUACCCAGCCGUACCAGUGCCACCUCCAUGGCACAUUCCAUGGCCACUCCCAGGAUCGUUCAGGAACAUUUCCAGCCAGUCUGGGAGCCAGCCCAGGGAUAUGCCCUUUGUAGUAAGUCUUGGACUAAAAGAGAUAAAAAUUAGUUACACAAUGUAUGAAGCACCAGCAGUGUAACAUCUUCACUCCAUGUGUCUAGUCUGACUGGCUCAUCUCGGUUCUUGCCGCCAACACCAUCCUAGGGAGGCGUCUCCCACCCUGUUUACAUUGGAAGCAUAGCCAGAUGGUUACAUCCGUCUUUUUUUUUUUUUUUUUUCAUGAACAGAUAGGUUUAUUUCAAUAAGUUUGAAACUCUUGCUUUUAUGCAAGCGUACUACAGUAAGUAUAUCGGGAAUUGACAAUGCCCUACACUGUCAAAUGUAUAAAGUUAUGCAUUUGUAUACAAAUGUAUAAAAGUUCCUUUUGCACUUUCUUCAACACUGUGUUGUCCACUUCUGCUUUGACCUCUGCUGAGUCGACCCGGGCUGCUUCUGCGGGGACUCUGGCAUCUCAGGUGGGGAGGGGGCGAGGGGGCCUGAAGUAGACCUUCCCCACGUCAUAGACAAGCCGCCAUGGCCCAGGACUGGUGUCUGGGGUUACACAUACCUCACCCCACCCCAGAACACAAAGCUAGAGUGUGGGUAGAUGAGGUAUCUCUAGUAAUGUAAACUCUCAAUAAAUGCACUACUACUCCUGAUCGUAAUUGUAUGCCCCUGGUUAAAAUUACCAGCCAGAUUAACUCUAACACCAUGGAAUGUUUCUAAUUAAAAUUACAUUAAGACAGGCUGAUUUCUGACUAAGCAUUUCAAAUGAAGUUCCAGCACUGAUUGCCCUAACCAAAAUCAGCUCCAAAGACAUCUUGAUCAUAUUAAAGCACGGAUUAUGUCAUAGAAAACAUUUGUAAACAUGUGGCUCUUUGCCAAGCUCUCUCGCUUAUGAUUAAAAAUAAGUUCUACGUUCUUGUAUUAUCUGUUUUCUGAAUACCAAUCUCCCAUACAACUUUAUUUAGCAGAGUUGGCCACACUUACACAAAACUGAGCGUUUUUACAUUUGAUUUAUUCUGCCUUAGAAGUCACAAAGCAAUUGGCAAUUCUGCCUCUAAAGCAAUUCAUUAAUAAUUCCCUUGCCCCAAAAUAAUGACCACCCAAGUCACUACUUACACGAUUUCUGCGUAAGCUUAUUUGUGCUGAUGUUUCCAGUGCCCUUCCUAAUUCUUCUAACUGAAGCCUGCGGAACCACAAACAUCUGAUCUCCUGCAGAACCUCUCCAGAUCGAUACAGAUCGGAUUUUGAUUUUACUUUAAAAAUUACUCCAUUCCAUUAGCUAAUGAGAUGCUUUUAUAAAAAACCUUUCACAAACCAAAUUAAACUUUCAAAUAGUAAACUCAAGUAUAUGUACUCAGGUAAUCACACACCUACAGUAUUUUAAGAUAAUGGGUAUGGUUCAGAUGGAACAGGGUGGCACCUGACUCGACAGUUAAGAACCUGCAUCCCUUAGGGGAGUGCCUGGGUUUGAGUCUCCGCUCUGCUAACAAUUCAGCUUCUUGCUAAUGUGUCCUGGGAGACAGCAGGUGAUGGUUCAAGUACUUGGGCCUCUGCCACCCAUGUGGGAGACCUGGGUGGAGUUCUGGGCUCCCUUGGCUAUUGUGGGCAUUUGGGGCAUGAAUCAGCAGAUGGAAGAUCUCUCUUUCUCUCUCUGUUGUUCAGCAUUUUUUUUUUCCUAAAGAUUUAUUUAUUUGAAAGGCAGAAUUGCAGGGGUGGAGGGGAGAGAGAGAGAGAGAUAUCUUCCAUCCACUGCUUCACUCCCCAGUGGCCACAACAGCUGGAGCUGUGCCAAUCCAAAGCCAGGAGCCAAGAGCUUCUUCCAAGUCUCCCACAUGGGUGAGGUAGCCCAAGCACUUGGGCUAUCUUCUACUGCUAUCCCAGGCCAUAGUAGAGAGCUGGAUUGGAAGUGGAGCAUUCGGGUCUCGAACUGGCACCCAUAUGGAAUGCUAGCACUACAGGUGGAGGCUUUACCUGCCACACCACAGCAUCGGCCCCAUCAGCCUUUCAAACAAACUUUUAAAACACAGAAGGCCAAAUUGAACACAUCCCUGUGGUGGUAGGGAAGGGAGAGGAGCAGAGAGCUGAGGCCAGGGCUGGGUUCUCAGCCCCUGAGCCCAUCUGGGCAGGCUUUCCCGAUCUCCCGUGCACCUGACACACUUCCUUCCUUUAACAGUCAACAGGGAGGAGCUUUGCCCCAAAGUGUUGUCUCCAUCUUCCGAUUAAAAAGAAAAGUCGUAUUUACAACUUCCAGCUUGACAAUCAUCAAGGUCUGUGGUUUAUCGACUUGGGUCUCUGGCUCCCUGGGGCCAAGGACUCCUUCUUCUCCGGGAUGCUGUGCUGUGCCCUUGUCUGAGUCAUCCUUGAGGCUGGAUCCCUGCACUCACCCCCUGCCCUUUGGUGGGGCCUGGAACCAGCACCUCUGAGAUUCCCGUCACCACAGGGAGGUGCCGACGAGGGCACGGACUAGUACUUCACCUUCAGGUUUCCUUCUCGGCGUCUUCUCUCACUCUGUCUCUUUCUCCAUGCCUCUGUCUGUCCAUCCACCUCUGCCUCUUGCUCUCCAUCCUUCUGUCACUGUGUCCGCUUCUCUGGCUCUCUCCUCUGCGUCUCUGCCUCCCUCUCGCUGUUAAUCUCUUUUUGCCUCUGAUUCUGUCUCCCUGCGUCUGUCUCUGUCUCCCUCCGGGCUCGGUCUUCGGCCUUUAUCCCGCCUCACUUGCCAAGUCAGUGCCCUUUGCCAGGGCACCUCCCAGGCCUACAGUGACAGCCGUGUGGAAUCUGAGGGUAGAAGCCAGAUGGCUCACAAGGACUUUGAAGAUUCUGUUUUAAAGUCAUGGGAGUAAAAGUAGUGAUUAAAAAAAAAAAAAUCCGUGCAUGGGUCCUGUGCCAGGGGCAUCUCCUAUGUUGUUUCUGACCCUAAACGAAGAAAUGAGAUGCCUUAUUCCGUGGCACCCAAGACACUUUGCUUGUAGGACCACCAUUAUAUCACAUCCUUUCAGACAAAAGGCCCACCGUCUACACCGCAACCCGCCCUUGAUGGCUGCCUGCGUCUUCAUUUCAGCCAUGCUGAGACGUGCAGGGACAGAAAGGGCAUGGAGAGGUGGGGAGCAGGGUGAAGGCAGACGAGGAAGCUGAGGACAGAGGAGCCCGGAGCCUCCUUCGAGGGGUCGGGCUGUCCCCAGCCUCUGUGUCAAGCUUGGAGGCCUUUUUCCUCCAGCAAUAUCUGCUUUCCCACCUGCUUGUCCCCAGGAACACCAGAAGCCCCCUAUCACCGACUGGGGCGGGGCACCUGUUCAGCACUGGAACUGCUGCCCCCGAGGCCACCUCCCCAUGUCCACCACAGAGCCUGGUACGGGACUGUGUGUUCCGCGGCCACUCUGAGAUUGCUGGCCGUGGUGGGGUUGGCAUGGAACAAGCGGGCACUGGCCGUGGCCACCAAACCCACCGCGGUGCUCCACUUCUCUUUUUUAAAGGAUUUAUUUAUUUAUUUGAAAGGCAAGAGUUAGAGAGAGUGAGAUUUGAUCUGCUGGUUUCACUCCCCAAAUGGCCACAUUGGCUGGGGCUGGUCCAAGCCAAAGCCAGGAGCCAGGAGCUUCUUCCAGGUUUCCCAUGUAGAUGCAGGGGCCCAAGGACUUGAGCCAUCCUUUGAUGCUUUCCCAGGUGCAUCAGCAGAGAGCUGGAUCAGAAGUGGGGCAGCCGGGACUUGAACCGGUGUCCAUAUGGGAUGCCGCUGCCCCAGGGGCCCUUUACUGGCUACACCCCAGCACCAGCCCCUCUCCACUUCCUGUCCUGGCUGGGGAGAGAGCCACAGCUAAGGCAGCUGAACUGUCAAGGUGGAUGUGGGGCUCUUUCACUGCUUCUGCCCACCCCACCUAUUCUUCUCCGUCCACAGUGGCCGCCUCUCGGGUCCCUGACUCAAUUUUCCUCGUCCGCCUCCACGUGUUUCCCUGGAGAUGACCGGGGUCUCUGUGGCUGAAGCGAGCUGCCAUGUGCUUCCCUGUGUGCAUUUGGCAAUGCAGGCCGAGCUUACUAACACCUGCACACACAGGAAGGGCUGUCCCCGCAGCCCUGGGAGGGUGAGGGGCCACACACGCAGUCCCCACCCGGCUGGAGUCCACAGCCCGGUGAGCGAGCAGAAGUCAUCAGAGCAGCUCAGAAAUUAGUGGAGAUGGGAGGAGCUGGGUUGGAGCAGGCACCCCCAACACACACACGCUCACACACACACACACUGUACGCCCCCUCCCCCCCACUUAUGGUUGAGGGUGGGGCCAUGUGGUAGGUGCCCGCCAAGGACCCUGAGUGGGCAUGCGUGUCCCCUCCAGGCACAGCCUGUCAAAACCGGUUGUCUCGCCAACCCUCUGCCCACGCUGAUGACCUUGGGCCCCCGCACUACCCAGCCCACAACGAGCCCAGAGUUCCCGAGAAAGAAACCGGAACUGAGUUUGUUUCCUGAGAUCCUGGGUUUGACUCAGCGCCUGGUGGUAACCACCUUACCUAACAGGGUCACACGUUCCUACAAGGGGUGACACGUCAAGAACGAACCAGUCGGGCAGGCAGUGUGGCGCGUGGGCACCCACAUCCCCUGUCAUGGUGCUGGUUCCAGGCCUGGCUCCUCUGCUUUCAACCCGGCUCCCUGUUAUGCACCUGGGAAGCUGCAGGUGAUGGCCCUGGUACUUGAGAUCUUACCAUCUGCAUGGAGACAGGGAUGGAGUUCCAGGGUCCCACAGCCUGAGCAAAGGCCCUGUGGUCAGAGAGCACUUUGGAUGCGCAGUGCUGCAUCUGCUCCCUGUGCGGCUGGUUUACGGAGGGCACCCUGGGGUGCACGCUGAGGUGGCUGCUGCCUGGCUCUCCCACAGCAGGGGCUGCUCUGCCCUCCCCUCCUCAGCCCCUCACAACCAGUCCGCAGCCCCCUGGAUGGGGUC